AUAGGCUAGCAGUCAUUUACUUGUGUGUAUUAAGAUAGUAAAUGUCUACAAUCUAUCAGGAUAUAAUUAUAGUAUACUAUAUUAUUAUGUUGGGUAGAAUUAAUCAUGAUUCAGAGUCAAGUCGUGGCUGUUUGUUCAUGUCUACUAAAUCUAAUGGAGUUUUUCGUAUGUACUUUCGUUUCUUUCGCUUAAAUUGUGAUGUCUCGUCUAUUCUCGCUUCAGCUUUCAGAACCUCCCCCACUGGGUCAUGCAGAUUACUGGAGAAGUAGUGUCUCUUGGCGUCAUCAUUAUUUUUCUCCACCCCUAGAGAAAAAGUAGGUCAGCAAACCUCACUGGGAGACGUUCCAGAAACUUCUUGGUGUCGUUCCCCUGCAGUGAUGUCCAUUCGUAAUGUCCAGAAGCUUUGCCAUCUGGACCCCUUGCUUCCCAUACCCUGAACGUGAUACCACAGUCUUUAACGAUCGUCUGUAGUGUUUGUAGG
Molecule: long non-coding RNA, 481 nt
Organism: Halichondria panicea
Lineage: Eukaryota; Metazoa; Porifera; Demospongiae; Suberitida; Halichondriidae
Exons: 2
Source: RefSeq, a predicted model, not a curated record